CAACAGGAGUAGAAACAUGUAUAGGCAAAUCAAGCGACUCACAGAACAUGUCCAAACUCAAAGAAAAUUAUGUAGACACAUAAGAAUAAGUAGAGCCUGAAUCAAAUAAUAUUGUAGUCGACCGAUGACAAACUGGAAUAAUAAAUGUGAGAACAACAUCUGAAGCUCUGCCCUACUCGGAAAUGCAUAACACUAGGCAUGAUCGCCCUCAGACUUCACACGACCGGAAUGGAAUCCACCUCUCCCCGUAUGAGAACCGCCUCUACCACUUUGUGCACCUCCCCAUAUCGGAGGUUGAGCAGCCUUAGACAGUGGUGGACCCAGGAUUUUCAUUCAGGGGGUUCGAAAAAUAAAAGUAUAAACGUGUAAAUAAGCCAACAAAAACAAAUUCAAGGAAGUAGUAGUAUAUAGUUUAUAGGUACAAAAGUUAGUUUCGUUACAAGAAAUCCGAAACUAACAUAAGUGAUUACAGUGAAACAAAAGUUAGUCCUUUAAAAUAUGUCAAAUCAACAAUAGAAUAUUAUGGGAGAUGAUUUUAAUAUUUGAGUUUUGAGUGUUGGGGAAGAACAAGAAAGUGAUUUAGGGAUUUGGAAAGUGAAAAAGUAAUUAGCUUUCAGGAAUGGGAGUAUGGGACCCUUGAAUUUUUUGGGUUUAACACCACAUUUUAGCACUUUUUAUUAAAAAAAAAAAACUAAAAAAACCAUGAAAAUCGGAACUGGAACUGAAAGUAAAAAACUAAAAAAAAAAACGCUAACCCAGGGAUUCGAUCCCUGGACGUCAGGCUUAAUAUUGAAGGGAGCUGCCGCUGGGCAAUCUCCUUCACCUUGUCAUUGAGGGGGUUCAAAAUAUAUAUAUCCACAUAAAUCCAGAAAAUUCACCUUAUAUAUACAGUGUAAUUUUUUAUCGAGGGGGUUCGGGUGAACCCCCUGGACAACACGUGGGUUCGCCCCUGGCCUUAGAAGUCAAAGCAUGAAAACUACCAUGUCUGUCUGGGGACAAUCACGAAAUGUCCCGUGUCACCACACUCUAAACAACCCCUACGGGGCAUAGGCUAAUGUGAGGAACCUGAAUGCCCUCCACGGCCUAAAGGUCACAAUGAUGAGCACUAUGAAGUUUGUAUUGAAC
RNAcentral lists this long non-coding RNA (1125 nucleotides) under Solanum tuberosum (potato). Its description in RNAcentral is "long non-coding RNA (STUB_LNC003464)". The record is from RNAcentral. Lineage: Eukaryota; Viridiplantae; Streptophyta; Magnoliopsida; Solanales; Solanaceae.